Molecule: ribosomal RNA, 516 nt
Filed under: uncultured bacterium
Lineage: Bacteria
Description: bacterial SSU rRNA
Rfam family: Bacterial small subunit ribosomal RNA
Source: RNAcentral
AAUCAACGCUGGCGGCGUGCCUCAGACAUGCAAGUCGAACGCGAAAGUUUCCUUCGGGGAACAAGUAGAGUGGCGCACGGGUGAGUAACACGUAGGUAAUCUACCUUUGGAUGGGGAAUAACAACCGGAAACGGUUGCUAACACCGCAUAAUGCAGCGGCACCUAAUGGUGACAGUUGUUAAAGCGGGGGAUCGAAAGACCUCGCGUCUGAAGAGGAGCCUGCGGCGGAUUAGCUAGUGGUAAGGUAAUGGCUUACCAAGGCGACGAUCCGUAACCGGCCUGAGAGGGCGGUCGGUCACACUGACACUGACAUACGGGUCAGACUCCUACGGGAGGCAGCAGUCGGGAAUUUUGGGCAAUGGGCGAAAGCCUGACCCAGCAACGCCGCGUGAAGGAUGAAAUCCCUCGGGAUGUAAACUUCGCAAGAACGGGAAGAAUAAGCGAGAGUUAAUAUCUUUCGUGAUGACGGUACCGUUUGUAAGCUCCGGCUAACUCCGUGCCAGCAGCCGCAGUAAC